CCCUUAGAUGUUCUGGGCCGCACGCGCGCUACACUGACGGAGCCAACGAGUAUUUUCCUUGUCCGGAAGGACUGGGUAAUCUUGUGAAACUUUGUCGUGCUGGGGAUAGAGCAUUGUAAUUAUUGCUCUUCAACGAGGAAUUCCUAGUAAGCGUGAGUCAUCAGCUCGCGUUGAUUACGUCCCUGCCCUUUGUACACACCGCCCGUCGCUACUACCGAUUGAAUGGCUUAGUGAGCCUUUGGGACUGGCAGCCAACACCGGCAACGGUAGCUGGCCGCCGAAAACUUAUGCAAACUUGGUCAUUUAGAGGAAGUAAAAGUCGUAACA
This 327-nucleotide ribosomal RNA is filed under the name uncultured eukaryote. RNAcentral's name for it is "partial 18S ribosomal RNA". It matches the Rfam family "Eukaryotic small subunit ribosomal RNA", at positions 1470 to 1796 of the family's 1831-position model. The record is from RNAcentral.